RNAcentral lists this small RNA (249 nucleotides) under Chinchilla lanigera (long-tailed chinchilla). Its description in RNAcentral is "Metazoan signal recognition particle RNA (ENSCLAG00000021697.1)". Lineage: Eukaryota; Metazoa; Chordata; Mammalia; Rodentia; Chinchillidae. The record is from RNAcentral.
GCCGGGCAUUGUGGCACAUGGCUGUAAUCCCAGAACUCAGGAGGCUGAGGCAGGAGGAUUGUUUACAAGUUUGGGGCCAGCCUGGGCUACAAAGCUAAGCUCAAGGUCAGCCUGAACUGCAUAGCGAGACCCUGUCUCAAAAAGACAAAAAAAAAAAGAAAAAAGAGACAGGGUCUCGCUAUGCAGUUCAGGCUGGCAUUAAGCUCACUUUGUAGCCCAGGCUGGUCUCAAACUUGUAACAGUCCUCCU